RNAcentral lists this non-coding RNA (27 nucleotides) under Bombyx mori (domestic silkworm). The record is from RNAcentral. Lineage: Eukaryota; Metazoa; Arthropoda; Insecta; Lepidoptera; Bombycidae.
UAAAGUGCUUCAUGCAGCGACUGUGGU